CCUACGGGCGGCAGCAGUGGGGAAUAUUGGACAAUGGGCGAAAGCCUGAUCCAGCCAUGCCGCGUGUGUGAAGAAGGCCUUCGGGUUGUAAAGCACUUUCAGUGGGGAAGAAAGCCUUGGGGCUAAUACCCUCGAGGAAGGACAUCACCCACAGAAGAAGCACCGGCUAACUCCGUGCCAGCAGCCGCGGUAAUACGGAGGGUGCGAGCGUUAAUCGGAAUUACUGGGCGUAAAGCGCGCGUAGGCGGUCUGAUAAGCCGGUUGUGAAAGCCCCGGGCUCAACCUGGGAACGGCAUCCGGAACUGUCAGGCUAGAGUGCAGGAGAGGAAGGUAGAAUUCCCGGUGUAGCGGUGAAAUGCGUAGAGAUCGGGAGGAAUACCAGUGGCGAAGGCGGCCUUCUGGACUGACACUGACGCUGAGGUGCGAAAGCGUGGGUAGCAAACAGGAUUAGAUACCCGGGUAGUC
Molecule: ribosomal RNA, 465 nt
Filed under: Vreelandella stevensii
Lineage: Bacteria; Pseudomonadati; Pseudomonadota; Gammaproteobacteria; Oceanospirillales; Halomonadaceae
Description: partial 16S ribosomal RNA
Rfam family: Bacterial small subunit ribosomal RNA
Source: RNAcentral